Non-coding RNA from Pseudomonas fluorescens, 87 nucleotides. NCBI's taxonomy places the organism in Bacteria, Pseudomonadati, Pseudomonadota, Gammaproteobacteria, Pseudomonadales, Pseudomonadaceae. The record is from Rfam.
CUCGAUGGUGGCUGUGCGCAGGGCGCCUCCGGGCGCGCCGAUAUCUUAGCUCGUCGGUCGACUAACCUGCGUACAGCUGCCUCCCAA